CGAACGCGAAAGUUCCCUUCGGGGAGCUAGUAGAGUGGCGCACGGGUGAGUAACACGUAGGUAAUCUACCUUCGGAUGGGGAAUAACACCGAGAAAUCGGUGCUAAUACCGCAUAAUGCAGCGGCACCUAAUGGUGACAGUUGUUAAAGCGGGGGAUCGAAAGACCUCGCGUCUGAAGAGGAGCCUGCGGCAGAUUAGCUAGUUGGUAAGGUAACGGCUUACCAAGGCGAUGAUCUGUAGCCGGCCUGAGAGGGCGGUCGGCCACACUGACACUGACAUACGGGUCAGACUCCUACGGGAGGCAGCAGUCGGGAAUUUUGGGCAAUGGGCGAAAGCCUGACCCAGCAACGCCGCGUGAAGGAUGAAAUCCCUCGGGAUGUAAACUUCGCAAGAACAGGAAGAAUAAGUGAGAGUUAACACCUCUUACGAUGACGGUACUGUUUGUAAGCUCCGGCUAACUCCGUGCCAGCAGCCGCGGUAAUACGGGGGGAGCAAGCGUUGUUCGGAUUUACUGGGCGUAAAGGGCGCGUAGGCGGCCACCGCAAGUCGAUUGUGAAAUCUCCGGGCUUAACUCGGAAAGGUCAACCGAUACUGCGGGGCUAGAGUGCAGAAGGGGCAACUGGAAUUCUCGGUGUAGCGGUGAAAUGCGUAGAUAUCGAGAGGAACACUGCGGCGAAGGCGGGUUGCUGGGCUGACACUGACGCUGAUGUGCGAAAGCUAGGGGAGCGAACGGGAUUAGAUACCCCGGUAGUCCUAGCC
This 759-nucleotide ribosomal RNA is filed under the name uncultured bacterium. RNAcentral's name for it is "bacterial SSU rRNA". It matches the Rfam family "Bacterial small subunit ribosomal RNA", at positions 63 to 801 of the family's 1533-position model. The record is from RNAcentral.